AUUAUUUGUGAUUUCAGACGUUGACGUUUUAAAGGGCAAAUUGGUGAUUCAUGCCUUCUCAAAGAGACACGUGUGCAACAGUUAAUUUUGCAAAUUGGAGUCUCAUCUAGACUCUUCUUCUUCCUACUAGACUGUUGCGAAAUUGCUUCUCAUUCUCACUUUCUCUGAUUUUUUUUGUGCAUCUCCAUCUGCUCUUUAAUCAUUUAUUGUUACUUUAGGAUUCACCAAGUGUAGCAUGUUGUGGGAAAAAACAUGCGAUGACUCCAACAAUGAAAACUACUUGAUAGUGAUCUUUGGGUGACUCAUAGUUGAAAGAUUGGAUUUUUACAGCCUGUCGAUAAUGUUGAUGGCGAUGAUAUUGAUCUCCUUGGAGAGGAUACAAAGGAAGAAAGAGAAGGCAACGGAAGCAAGGGAGGCGGCUAAUGCAUCUACCAAGAAGAAAGAUAGUGAGCUUUGAUAUUUCCUUCUUAGUUGCUUUUGUAUCCAAUGCACAAUUACUGUAGAAAGAAAAUGCAAAACAUAUCAGAACUUGAGUGUGGAAAAUAUGUUCCUUUAAUCAAGUAAAUCAUCAAUAUGCUUCAUUUUGUUAUGUUCUUACUUUUGUAGUUGAAAAGUUUUUCGUUCUUUUGGAAGUUAAGCCUUGGAAUGAUGAACUCACAUGAAGGGGCUGGAGGAGGUUGUUCGCAGUGUUUAGAUGGAAGUGCUUUUCUGGGGAAUAUGUAUGAUUUAUAAUUUCCAUUCCCUCUUUAACACACAUUACCAAAGUUCCUCUAGAGGAAUUAAUAUCAGCUGAAAUUCACCGUAAGCAAUUCAACAAAACUUAUGAACCAUUGAAAAGGUAAAACCUUCUUUUCCUAAUAUUUAUCUGGAUAAUCUUUUGUUUUGGGCGUAGAUCUUUGGUCCAAUGUGACAAUGCUGGUAAAGUUUUUAUUUUUUAUUUUUUAUUUUUUAUUGGAGGUAAUUUGUUAUACUAGUCGAAGGCUCUUUGCUAUAAAUUAAGGGUGCAGGUGAUCAUCAAGUGGUGGACUAUUCCUACAGCUGCCAAAUUGCAGUCCAUUUAUAGAGCAAUUCCAGCUAUUAUCAUGUGGGAGCUGUGAAAUAGAACAGAUUCAAUAAAGCAUGUAGGAAACAUAUCAUACAACAAAGUUCUAUGUGUACUUCAGCUUACCAUCAACAAGCUAAUCAGAUGUAGAUAUCCGUGGCUCACACAUGUUCCACCAGACUGACCAUCUUUGUCGACCUCGUCGGUCGUUUUGAGAAUCAAUGUUCUAUUCCGCGUGUCGUCUAUUCCAGAAGCUUCAUAACAAUUAUUUUGAUUUGCUUGCAAAAUUUAAGUCAAACGGAUAUAAUUUGGUUCACUUGUGGAGAAGGUUUCAUUUUGAAAAUUCUGAUAUUUAAGUAUUUGGAUGAAUUGCUUGUUUUUUGAAAACGUGCUCUGAUUGGCGAUCUGAAGAUUUCGUUAGAUUUGUAAUAUUAUUUAUGACCUGUAGAAAUUGACUGAGCUAAUUUUAGAGUUCGUUUGGUUGGUUUUUGACAAUUAAGUCGAUUUUAUUAUUUAAUGUGCCUAUGUAUGGUGAAAAGAUGGUCACGGAAGAAAUAAGACCCGAAUUGAAAAUUUAUUGGUUCCAUUAUCUUCGUAUUGAUGCUUACGACUUGCGGGAAUGAACAAAUCGAUUCCCGAAGCUUUUGGUUGAGUUUUGGGUAAGGAAAAGGAUAUUUUGGAAAUCCUUAAGUAAAGAUGUGAGAAUGGUUGACCAAAGUCAACACUAAGGGUAAAUGAGUCUUUUUUAAAGUUUCAUCGAUUCUAUUAGGUCCGGAAUGUGAUUAUUGAUUCAGUGGAGCCAUUGAUUCGGUUCUCGAGGGGUUCAAGUGUGGUUUGGGUCAUAGGUUGAGAAACCAGUUAAGUUAAGGAAUUGGAGUUGACCACGUUCAACUUCAGGUGAAGAAGACCCCGUGUUGUUGCUUUGAAUGUUCCAACAUGUUUUCGUAUAAUGAUUUUGGACUUGUCCGCAAGUUUUGGUGAGAUUCCAAUGAGUUUCAAAUGGAUUUGGGUUGUGUCGCGCUCGUAUUUGAAGUUUCAACGUCGUUUCUUUGCGCAUAAAAGGUACCAAUUGAGAAAAUGACCUCUCAAUUAUGUUUCGAUUGAACCAUUAAAUUAGCAUCGCAAUUACCGAGCCAUAGCAAAAGGAAUCGUUGAAUUUCGACGUCGUAUGAGGGAGUUAUGCCCAUUUUAGUGUCGGUGAAAUUGUUGUCUCUGGUGUGGUUGCGGGUGCGGAAAAAGGGCCGAAAAUGUGAAACUGCAGGGGCAAAUUGGUCUGCAGGUGCGGAAAUGCCAUGUGGCAGUCUGCAGGUGCGAAAUUUUGGGCCGCGGAAGCGGAAAUCAUUGAGUUAAAAUUUAGACUUCGUCCAUUUUGUAUUUUGAGCAUAUUUUGAGUUCUAGAGCUCCGUUUGAGGUGAUUUUCGCCUCGUUGUUCUCAUCUCAACGAGAGGGUUAGUAUCUAACCUCUAUUUUGGUGUUUCCCCAUGAUUAUUUCCAUCGGUUAUCGUUUUUAUUUGUGUUUGGGCUUGUAGAAGUUGGGGUUUUGAGACCUAAGAAUAAUAGAAUGAAAAAUCUCGAUUUGGGGAUCGACUCAUGGAUGAAAUUGGGUGAUUUUCUCUAUUUAGACGAUAUAAGUUAGUAAACCGAUUUUCAAAUAAAAUUCCGUUUUGGUCUUAGGGGCCCGGGAUUACCUUUUUGGGUUCGUUUUUGGAUUCCAAAUUAAAUAUAGCAAUAUGGGUAUCAUUGGAUUCAUUUAACUUUAUAGAGUACUAUUUGACUAUAUUGAACCCAAUUUUGUAAUGAAAUUACAGUUUUGACUUUUAGGGCUUAAGAUUGGCUUUUUGGGUGACUUUUUGGACCCAAAGUAUAAUCAUAACAAUAUGGGUGUCUAUGGAGUCAUAUACUUACAUAGAUUAUGUAUUUGAACAAUUUGGGAUCGUUCAGAGGCUUUGAAUAAGGGCAAGGUCGUGUUAUGAUUUCUUGAGUUUCGGACUUCAAAUCCGGCAAGUUGAGACUUUUCUUGACCCUAUUUAAAGUGUCGUGGUUGGUCAAAAUAGACUAAUAAAGAGGGAGUAAUGGGGAAACUAAGGGGUCCUGAUACUCGUGAGACGACGAGCACUUGUAUUGAGAAGCAGUGUCAUGUUAUGGGUAUUCGUGUAUGUUAGAGUAUUAUUGUUCGGUCUAAAUGCCAUACGUUGGGCAUUAGCUGAGAGCAUAGAUUGAUUUUGUGGUUCGUGAUUGGGACAUGAGAUUCCUUAUUUAUUGCUUCUAUGCUUAUUACCUGUCUUAACUAUCAUUAAGUGUUGUCAUCACUCCUAAGUAUCGUAUAAAAGUGGAAGAGCUAAAGAUUGAGCCUUUUAUUAUGUAGUCAUGUUGUUUAUUGUUGUGCAUGUCAUAUUCAUGCUUUCAUAUGGUAUCUCAUGAAUAUUACACGUGAAGAUACAUAUGAGAGGUCCGAGGGAAAAUGGUUCUGGACGGAGUGAUGUGGAUGAUAUGAGCCUGAUUGGCUAGAGACAGGUAAUGUGAGCCUAUUGGUUGACUAACGUGAUUGGAAGCCUAAAAUGGUUAAGAACCCUAAGGGAAAUGAUUUCGGGUGGUGUAUGGACCUCACAAGUCCCCUAUGGGCCAUGUAUUUAAUAUUGGAGUGUGUGUAUACCGGUGAUGGAAAGGCCUUGCAUUGCAUUUGCAUAUUAUAUCAUCUUAUGAACUCCUUGUUUGGAUGACUUGCCUAAAUUGUUGAUUGAAUCAUACUUAACUUGCUUAUUUGGCUACUCAAAUAACUUGUGGACUUAGAGAUGCCUCAUAUUUAGGCUUUAGGUUUGCAACUUAUGAUUACCCUUAUUAUUAUGUUGGACUAACCGCAGUUAAGCGUGGAAGUGGUAUUUGGAAGACCAACCCUCACCACCGUUUUAGUUUGUAGGUCGGUCGGCGAUCUUUUGUUGAGUACACGUUGAAUCCCCGUACUCACUCUACACUUGCUUCAUAUUUUUAUGUGCAGAGUCUGUCCCUCGCACUAAUGUAGCUUGAGGCUUCACCGAUUGUUAAGGAGCUUUUUUGGAGGAUUCGACGCGAGCUACUGGCUGAUCCGUGGCACCAGAUUCUCUCUCUCUUUUACAUUAUUCUGUCUUUUUUUCUAUUCAAACAUUGUAUUCAAAUGACAUCCUAGAUUUGUAUUUGCUAUCCUAAUAGUUCUUGUAUUUGUAACACCAUGUUUUGGUUGGUUGUACUUAUUCCGCAUAUUAUGAAUA
Long non-coding RNA from Lycium ferocissimum, 4287 nucleotides. RefSeq lists it as uncharacterized. The transcript is spliced from 4 exons. The record is from RefSeq and is a predicted model, not a curated record. NCBI's taxonomy places the organism in Eukaryota, Viridiplantae, Streptophyta, Magnoliopsida, Solanales, Solanaceae.